RNAcentral lists this long non-coding RNA (301 nucleotides) under Homo sapiens (human). Its description in RNAcentral is "HSALNT0359945". Lineage: Eukaryota; Metazoa; Chordata; Mammalia; Primates; Hominidae. The record is from RNAcentral.
UGUAGGUUGAAUGCUGGCAUGCCUGCCUGGGUGUUCAAGAUCAGUUUAUUCUAGCACUAUCUCUUUUUGGAUGUCGAAGGCUUUUGGGAGAUGGUUUGAAUGCUUCCGGGGACCUUAUCUGCCAAGCGAAGAGCAAUUGCAGAUGGAGAAGACGAUGUCGGAAUCAAGCCAUAGAUGCCCAGAAACUAAUAAUUACGGAAACUUCUGAUGUCAGUGAGUGAAGUCUGGACUCUGUGAGGUGGGUAUUGGUGUCACUUAUAGUCUACAGAUGAAGAAACUGAGGCUCACAGAAGUCAAGUAA